Molecule: unclassified non-coding RNA, 358 nt
Filed under: uncultured fungus
Lineage: Eukaryota; Fungi
Description: partial contains small subunit ribosomal RNA, internal transcribed spacer 1, and 5.8S ribosomal RNA
Rfam family: Eukaryotic small subunit ribosomal RNA (bases 1-138)
Source: RNAcentral
GCAAACUUGGUCAUUUAGAGGAAGUAAAAGUCGUAACAAGGUUUCCGUAGGUAAGUACUACUUAUCACUUACUAUCUCUCUAUGCUUGAAUAAUGUGCUGACUUUUCUCUUUCAGGUGAACCUGCGGAAGGAUCAUUACUGAGUGUUUAACCUCCCUUUAAAAAAAGGGGGUUACCUCCCGUCCUUUGCAGGCCCUUUUUUUAAGGGGCUUUUAGACUUUGCUUCGGCGGGGUUACCCCGCCGGAACACCCUCCGAAAAAUUCUGAUUUCAAAACUGUUCAGUCCGAGGAUAUUUAUAAAUUAAAAAAAAACUUUCAACAACGGAUCUCUUGGUUCUGGCAUCGAUGAAGAACGCAGC